RNAcentral lists this ribosomal RNA (433 nucleotides) under Kocuria sp. RNAcentral's name for it is "bacterial SSU rRNA". It matches the Rfam family "Bacterial small subunit ribosomal RNA", at positions 66 to 510 of the family's 1533-position model. The record is from RNAcentral. Lineage: Bacteria; Bacillati; Actinomycetota; Actinomycetes; Micrococcales; Micrococcaceae.
ACGAUGAUGCCCAGCUUGCUGGGCGGAUUAGUGGCGAACGGGUGAGUAAUACGUGAGUAACCUGCCCUUGACUCUGGGAUAAGCCUGGGAAACUGGGUCUAAUACUGGAUACUACCUCUUACCGCAUGGUGGGUGGUGGAAAGGGUUUUACUGGUUUUGGAUGGGCUCACGGCCUAUCAGCUUGUUGGUGGGGUAAUGGCUCACCAAGGCGACGACGGGUAGCCGGCCUGAGAGGGUGACCGGCCACACUGGGACUGAGACACGGCCCAGACUCCUACGGGAGGCAGCAGUGGGGAAUAUUGCACAAUGGGCGGAAGCCUGAUGCAGCGACGCCGCGUGAGGGAUGACGGCCUUCGGGUUGUAAACCUCUUUCAGUAGGGAAGAAGCGAGAGUGACGGUACCUGCAGAAGAAGCGCCGGCUAACUACGUGCCA